Molecule: ribosomal RNA, 1414 nt
Filed under: Lygistorrhina sanctaecatharinae
Lineage: Eukaryota; Metazoa; Arthropoda; Insecta; Diptera; Keroplatidae
Description: partial 28S ribosomal RNA
Rfam family: Eukaryotic large subunit ribosomal RNA
Source: RNAcentral
AAACCGCCUAGGGGUUAAGCCCGAUGAACCCGAAUAUCUGAAAUGGGAAAUUCAGUAUUGUUUAUUAUUGAUUUAAUAUUGAUAUAUAAAUUGUAUGCACUUUUCCCAUAGUAAGACAUUGCGAUCCAUUAGUAUAUUAACAUUUCUAUGUUAAUUGUUUAUUAAAAGGCCCAAGUGUUUAGUUUUUCCUAGCUGUGGUUAUUUUUUAAUUUCCAUAUGGAUAACAUCACAUGGUGUCCUAAUAAACAGCUGAUGGAGCUUAAAAAUCGUCCAAUCAUAUUUUAUAUGAAACACAAUUUAAAUAUUAUUAUUUAAAUGUACGUGUUAGGAUGUAUUUGAUUAGCAAUGCGAUAGAUUUGGGAUACCUUCGGGACCCGUCUUGAAACACGGACCAAGAAGUUUAACAUAGGCGCAAGUCAUUGGGUUAUUUGUAGAAACCUAAAGGCGAAAUUAAAAUAACUAGUUAUUCAUUCUUCGGAAUGGAUAAUAGAAUGGGAUUACGAAAAAUUUUUAUGAUUUUUCCUCCAUCCCGGGGCGUUCUAUAUGAACAUGAUUUAAGCAAUUAGAUCCUCUGUUCAAGAGCGUACCUUGAGCGUCUAUGUUGAGACCCGAAAGAUGGUGAACUAUACCUGAUCAGGUUGAAGUCAGGGGAAACCCUGAUGGAGGACUGAAGCAGUUCUGACGUGCAAAUCGAUUGUCAGAAUUGGGUAUAGGAGCGAAAGACUAAUCGAACCAUCUAGUAGCUGGUUCCCUCCGAAGUUUCCCUCAGGAUAGCUGGUGCAAUUAAUAAUCUAAUAUAUAAUCUUAUCUGGUAAAGCGAAUGAUUAGAGGCCUUGGGGCCGAAACGACCUCAACCUAUUCUCAAACUUUAAAUGGGUAAGAACCUCAUCUUUCUUGAUGUGAAGAUAUAGAGGUUUAGAUAUAUUGUGCCCAGUGGGCCACUUUUGGUAAGCAGAACUGGCGCUGUGGGAUGAACCAAACGUGAUGUUACGGCGCCAAAAUUAAUGACUCAUAUAGAUACCAUGAAAGGCGUUGGUUGCUUAAAACAGCAGGACGGUGGACAUGGAAGUCGUAAUCCGCUAAGGAGUGUGUAACAACUCACCUGCCGAAGCAACUAGCCCUUAAAAUGGAUGGCGCUCAAGUCAUAUGCCUAUACAUCACCGCUAGAGUAAUAGAAUUUUACUUUUAUGGGUAAAAUUUAUGAAACUCUAGUGAGUAGGAGGGUACAAUGGUGUGCGCAGAAGUGUUUGGCGUGAGCCUGCAUGGAGCCGCCAUUGGCACAGAUCUUGGUGGUAGUAGCAAAUAAUCGAAUGAGAUCUUGGAGGACUGAAGUGGAGAAGGGUUUCGUGUGAACAGUGGUUGAUCACGAGUUAGUCGGUCCUAAGCUCUAAGCGAAAGCUGUUUAAUUUAUGUA